This 468-nucleotide ribosomal RNA is filed under the name uncultured bacterium. RNAcentral's name for it is "partial 16S ribosomal RNA". It matches the Rfam family "Bacterial small subunit ribosomal RNA", at positions 28 to 507 of the family's 1533-position model. The record is from RNAcentral.
GACGAACGCUGGCGGCGUGCUUAACACAUGCAAGUCGAACGGAAAGGCCCUGCUUUUGUGGGGUGCUCGAGUGGCGAACGGGUGAGUAACACGUGAGUAACCUGCUCUUGACUUUGGGAUAACUUCAGGAAACUGGGGCUAAUACCGGAUAGGAGCUCCUGCUGCAUGGUGGGGGGUGGAAAGUUUCGGCGGUUGGGGAUGGACUCGCGGCUUAUGAGCUUGUUGGUGGGGUAGUGGCUUACCAAGGCUUUGACGGGUAGCCGGCCUGAGAGGGUGACCGGCCACAUGGGGACUGAGAUACGGCCCAGACUCCUACGGGAGGCAGAAGUGGGGAAUAUUGCACAAUGGGCGGAAGCCUGAUGCAGCAACGCCGCGUGCGGGAUGACGGCCUUCGGGUUGUAAACCGCUUUCGCCUGUGACGAAGCGUGAGUGACGGUAAUGGGUAAAGAAGCACCGGCUAACUACGUG